This 329-nucleotide long non-coding RNA is filed under the name Mytilus galloprovincialis (Mediterranean mussel). Lineage: Eukaryota; Metazoa; Mollusca; Bivalvia; Mytilida; Mytilidae. The record is from RNAcentral.
AGUCAAUCAAAAUAACUUAUUAUAAUGAAUCGAACAUGUAACGUAAUUAUUGUUUGCAUGAAACCUCAUACAAAGGAAUUUUUUAUUUGAAAUUUCAAUGUCUAUUUUACAAAAGUGCACAAAGGCUACUGGAAAUUCCAGGUACUUAAUCGGAAGAAAUAUUUUUCCUCGAUUAACAUCAUACAUUUCUGUUGAGAAUUCUAAAUUACACAAAUGACAAACUCAAUUGUUUCUACAAUUACAAACUGCGUUUUAAAAAGUCAACACAAUAACCAUGAGUAUUCUUUUCAUCAUUUGAACAAAUAUUUGAUAGCAAAACCUGUUUCAAA